GACGAACGCUGGCGGCGUGCCUAAUACAUGCCAGUUGAGCGCUGAAGGCUGGUACUUGUACCAACUGGAUGAGCAGCGAACGGGUGAGUAACGCGUGGGGAAUCUGCCUUUGAGCGGGGGACAACAUUUGGAAACGAAUGCUAAUACCGCAUAAAAACUUUAAACACAAGUUUUAAGGUUGAAAGAUGCAAUUGCAUCACUCAAAGAUGAUCCCGCGUUGUAUUAGCUAGUUGGUGAGGUAAAGGCUCACCAAGGCGAUGAUACAUAGCCGACCUGAGAGGGUGAUCGGCCGCAUUGGGAAUGAGACACGGCCCAAACUCCGACGGGAGGCAGCAGUAGGGAAUCUUCGGCAAUGGACGAAAGGCUGACCGAGCAACGCCGCGUGAGUGAAGAAGGGUUUCGGAUCGUAAAACUCUGUUGGUAGAGAAGAACGUUGGUGAGAGUGGAAAGCUCAUCAAGUGACGGUAACUACGCAGAAAGGGACGGCUAACUACGUG
Molecule: ribosomal RNA, 497 nt
Filed under: uncultured bacterium
Lineage: Bacteria
Description: partial 16S ribosomal RNA
Rfam family: Bacterial small subunit ribosomal RNA
Source: RNAcentral